GGGUGUAUAGCUCAGUUGUAGAGAAUUCGACUGCAGACCGAGAGGUCCGUUGUUCAACUCCGCGUGCCCUCU
Non-coding RNA from Angiostrongylus costaricensis, 72 nucleotides. NCBI's taxonomy places the organism in Eukaryota, Metazoa, Nematoda, Chromadorea, Rhabditida, Metastrongylidae. The record is from Rfam.